Molecule: transfer RNA, 69 nt
Filed under: Hippocampus sindonis (Dhiho's seahorse)
Lineage: Eukaryota; Metazoa; Chordata; Actinopteri; Syngnathiformes; Syngnathidae
Description: tRNA-Ala
Rfam family: tRNA
About the family: Transfer RNA (tRNA) molecules are approximately 80 nucleotides in length. Their secondary structure includes four short double-helical elements and three loops (D, anti-codon, and T loops). Further hydrogen bonds mediate the characteristic L-shaped molecular structure. tRNAs have two regions of fundamental functional importance: the anti-codon, which is responsible for specific mRNA codon recognition, and the 3' end, to which the tRNAs corresponding amino acid is attached (by aminoacyl-tRNA synthetases). tRNAs cope with the degeneracy of the genetic code in two manners: having more than one tRNA (with a specific anti-codon) for a particular amino acid; and 'wobble' base-pairing, i.e. permitting non-standard base-pairing at the 3rd anti-codon position.
Source: RNAcentral
AAGGCUUUAGCUUAAUUAAAGUGUCUGUUUUGCAUACAGUAGAUGUAGAUUAAUAACCUGCAGGUCUUA